This 624-nucleotide ribosomal RNA is filed under the name uncultured Lactarius. RNAcentral's name for it is "eukaryotic LSU rRNA". The stretch from base 202 to 355 matches the Rfam family "5.8S ribosomal RNA". The record is from RNAcentral. Lineage: Eukaryota; Fungi; Basidiomycota; Agaricomycetes; Russulales; Russulaceae.
GGGGCAUGCGAGGGCUGUCGCUGACUCAAAGUCGUGCACGCCCGAGUGUGUCGCCUCACAUAAUAAUCCAUCUCACCCUUUGUGCAUCACCGCGUGGGCACCCCUUUGGGAUCAUCUCGGAGGGGGCUCGCGUUUUCACACAAAACCCCCCUUUUAAAAGUGUAGAAUGACCUCAUUUAUGCGUUAACCCGCAAUCAAUACAACUUUCAACAACGGAUCUCUUGGCUCUCGCAUCGAUGAAGAACGCAGCGAAAUGCGAUACGUAAUGUGAAUUGCAGAAUUCAGUGAAUCAUCGAAUCUUUGAACGCACCUUGCGCCCCCUGGUAUUCCGAGGGGCACACCCGUUUGAGUGUCGUGAAAACCUCAACCUCCUUGGUUUCUUCUGGAGACCAAAGCAGGCUUGGACUUUGGAGGCCUUUGCUGGCACCUCUCGCCAGCUCCUCUUAAAUGAAUUAGCAGGGUCCUCUUUGCUGAUCCUCGACGUGUGAUAAGAUGUUUCCAUGUCUUGGUUUCUGGCUCUGUCACCUUUGGGACCCGCUUCUAACCGUCUUCAACCUUGCGUUGAGACAACGUUCGAGCAUGUCUCCCUUCUCGGGAAGCUCCCUCGACCCCACGAACCCUUGA